GACGAACGCUGGCGGCGUGCCUAAUACAUGCAAGUUGAGCGCUGAAGGUUGGUACUUGUGCCAACUGGGUGAGCAGCGCACGUGUGAGUAACGCGUGUGGCAUCUGCCUUUGAGCGGGGGACCACAUUUGAAAACGAAUGCUAAUACCGCAUAAAAACUUUAAACACAAGUUUUAAGUUUGAAAGAUGCAGUUUCAUCACUCAAAGAUGAUCCAGCGUUGUAUUAGCUAGUUGGUGAGGUAAAGGCUCACCAAGGCGGUGAUACAUAGCCGACCUGAGGGGGUGAGCGGCCACAUUGGGACGGAGACACGGCCCAAACUCCUACGGGAGGCAGCAGUAGGGAAUCGUGGGCAAUGGACGAAAGUCUGACCGAGCAAGGCCGCGUGAGUGAAGAAGGGUUUCGGAUCGUAAAACUCUGUUGGUAGAGAAGAACGGUGGUGAGAGUGGAAAGCUCAUCAAGUGACGGUAACUACACAGAAAGGGACGGCUAACUACGUG
This 497-nucleotide ribosomal RNA is filed under the name uncultured bacterium. Its description in RNAcentral is "partial 16S ribosomal RNA". It matches the Rfam family "Bacterial small subunit ribosomal RNA", at positions 28 to 507 of the family's 1533-position model. The record is from RNAcentral.